Rattus norvegicus (Norway rat) is the source of this 445-nucleotide long non-coding RNA. RefSeq annotates it as mitoregulin. The transcript has 2 exons. The record is from RefSeq and is marked validated. NCBI's taxonomy places the organism in Eukaryota, Metazoa, Chordata, Mammalia, Rodentia, Muridae.
AUCUACUGCAUGCUGAGCGUUUGCAAUGGCGGACGUGUCUGAGAGGACGCUGCAAGUGUCCGUGCUAGUGGCUUUCGCCUCUGGAGUGGUCCUUGGCUGGCAAGCGAAUCGGUUGCGGAGGCGUUACCUGGACUGGAGGAAGCGGAGGCUGCAGGACAAGCUGGCGACGACUCAGAAAAAGCUGGACCUGGCCUGAGCACGUUGGGUUCUCUCCAAGCCUCGUGCAGCCCGUAUCCGGGGAGCUGCGCGACUACACGCCCUGAGUCCCGGCUCGUCCUUGCACGGCUUGCAGGAACGUGGCUUGCUUCCAGACCUCAGAAAGAAAAUAGUUUUGUCUUCGCUAACAGCCUGUGCUCAGCUUGUCGAAGAUGGAUAUAAAGCACGGGAAAGAAAACAUUUCUUGCACUUUAUGAAUCUAUUUUUAAAAUAAAAAAUUUUAAACAUC